RNAcentral lists this ribosomal RNA (439 nucleotides) under uncultured bacterium. RNAcentral's name for it is "partial 16S ribosomal RNA". It matches the Rfam family "Bacterial small subunit ribosomal RNA", at positions 339 to 795 of the family's 1533-position model. The record is from RNAcentral.
CUACGGGACGCUGCAGUGAGGAAUAUUGCACAAUGGAGGAAACUCUGAUGCAGCAACGCCGCGUGGAGGAUGACGCAUUUCGGUGUGUAAACUCCUUUUAUAUGUCAAGAAAAUGACGGUAGCAUAUGAAUAAGCACCGGCUAACUCCGUGCCAGCAGCCGCGGUAAUACGGAGGGUGCAAGCGUUACUCGGAAUCACUGGGCGUAAAGGACGCGUAGGCGGGAUAUCAAGUCAGGUGUGAAAUCCUACAGCUUAACUGUAGAACUGCACUUGAAACUGGUAACCUAGAGUAUGGGAGGGGGAGAUGGAAUUAGUGGUGUAGGGGUAAAAUCCGUAGAUAUCACUAGGAAUACCUAAAGCGAAGGCGAUCUCCUGGAACAUUACUGACGCUAAGGCGUGAAAGCGUGGGGAGCAAACAGGAUUAGAUACCCGAGUAGUC